RNAcentral lists this ribosomal RNA (573 nucleotides) under uncultured fungus. Its description in RNAcentral is "eukaryotic LSU rRNA". The stretch from base 211 to 364 matches the Rfam family "5.8S ribosomal RNA". Lineage: Eukaryota; Fungi. The record is from RNAcentral.
AGUCGUAACAAGGUCUCCGUAGGUGAACCUGCGGAGGGAUCAUUACACAAAUAUGAAGGCGGGCUGGAACCUCUCGGGGUUACAGCCUUGCUGAAUUAUUCACCCUUGUCUUUUGCGUACUUCUUGUUUCCUUGGUAGGUUCGCCCACCACUAGGACAAACAUAAACCUUUUGUAAUUGCAAUCAGCGUCAGUAACAAAUUAAUAAUUACAACUUUCAACAACGGAUCUCUUGGUUCUGGCAUCGAUGAAGAACGCAGCGAAAUGCGAUAAGUAGUGUGAAUUGCAGAAUUCAGUGAAUCAUCGAAUCUUUGAACGCACGUUGCGCCCUUUGGUAUUCCAAAGGGCAUGCCUGUUCGAGCGUCAUUUGUACCCUCAAGCUUUGCUUGGUGUUGGGCGUCUUGUCUCUAGCUUUGCUUGAGACUCGCUUUAAAGUAAUUGGCAGCCGGCCUACUGGUUUCGGAGCGCAGCACAAGUCGCACUCUCUAUCAGCAAAGGUCUAGCAUCCAUUAAGCCUUUUUUUCAACUUUUGACCUCGGAUCAGGUAGGGAUACCCGCUGAACUUAAGCAUAUCA